Molecule: ribosomal RNA, 465 nt
Filed under: uncultured bacterium
Lineage: Bacteria
Description: partial 16S ribosomal RNA
Rfam family: Bacterial small subunit ribosomal RNA
Source: RNAcentral
GACGAACGCUGGCGGCGUGCUUAACACAUGCAAGUCGUACGGUAAGGCCCUUUCGGGGGUACACGAGUGGCGAACGGGUGAGUAACACGUGAGUAACCUGCCCACAACUUUUGGAUAACGCUAGGAAACUGGUGCUAAUACUGGUUAUGUGCUCCUGCUGCAUGGUGGGGGUUGGAAAGCUCCGGCGGUGGUGGAUGGACUCGCGGCCUAUCGGCUUGUUGGUGGGGUAGUGGCCUACCAAGGCGGCGACGGGUAGCCGGCCUGAGGGGGUGACCGGCCACAUUGGGACUGAGAUACGGCCCAGACUCCUACGGGAGGAAGCAGUGGGGAAGAUUGAACAAUGGGCGCCAGCCGGAUGCAGCAGCGCCGCGUGCGGGAUGACGGCCUUCGGGUUGUAAAACGCUUUCAGCAGGGACGAAGCUUUUUGUGACGGUACCUGCAGAAGAAGCACCGGCUAACUACGUG